Conger conger (European conger) is the source of this 617-nucleotide long non-coding RNA. RefSeq lists it as uncharacterized. Lineage: Eukaryota; Metazoa; Chordata; Actinopteri; Anguilliformes; Congridae. The record is from RefSeq and is a predicted model, not a curated record. The transcript has 5 exons.
CCGGUAUCAGGAACGGUCCUUCGCAGUAGUCAAACGUCCUGAGGAUUACAAAAAAAAAAAACAACCCUUAAAGGAGCAGAAACGGGAGUCAUUUCCUCUCACGAUUUGCAGCUGUGCUUGGAACAGUGGAUUAUUUCCUCGUUUGAAAAACACCAGACAACUUCACACUCGGUACGAGGAAUUGCAGACAAAAAAGAGCUCCCGGGGGAUCAGAUUUAAGCGCACGCCCGCCCGUCUCUCUGGACGCCCCCCUCUGCUGCAGGGAACAGCCGCUUGGAGCGCUGCGGUCCCAUUGGCCGGAAGCAGCAGGAAACUCCACGCCUGACCUCGCCUCUCCUUGCAGGAACACUGACUGAAUCAGAGCGAUACUGAGGGGGUCCAACCCCCCACCAGCCCACAAACCCGGCUGCUACCGCCCCCCGCCUUCUCGGCCUAUGAGAGCUGGAGGGGAUCUGAGAGCAGCCGUCUGAUUGGACAACGUCGCCUUCCAUCACAGCUGACAGACUUGGACAACGCCUGUCUCCGAUAAUGUCCUGCUGAAAUCUGCAGGAGGACCUCUUUCACCGUCCCCACCCCUCCCCUUCACCCCCCACCCCCCCCGCCCGGCCCCUGGCCCC